This is a non-coding RNA of Myotis lucifugus (little brown bat), 74 nucleotides long. The record is from Rfam. NCBI's taxonomy places the organism in Eukaryota, Metazoa, Chordata, Mammalia, Chiroptera, Vespertilionidae.
GCCCAUGUGGCUCAGUAGCUAGAGUGUAGGCCCGAAAACCCAAGGGUCAUGGGUUCAACUCCCAGUCAAGGUUG